UACGUAGGGGGCAAGCGUUGUCCGGAAUCAUUGGGCGUAAAGAGCGUGUAGGCGGUUCGGUAAGUCCGCUGUGAAAGUCGGGGGCUCAACCCUCGAAUGCCGGUGGAUACUGUCGGGCUAGAGUGCGGAAGAGGCGAGUGGAAUUCCUGGUGUAGCGGUGAAAUGCGCAGAUACCAGGAGGAACACCAAUUGCGAAGGCAGCUCGGCUGGGACGUAACUGACGCUGAGGCACGGAAAGCGAUGGGUAGCAAAC
This 253-nucleotide ribosomal RNA is filed under the name uncultured bacterium. Its description in RNAcentral is "partial 16S ribosomal RNA". It matches the Rfam family "Bacterial small subunit ribosomal RNA", at positions 524 to 773 of the family's 1533-position model. The record is from RNAcentral.